Pan troglodytes (chimpanzee) is the source of this 7296-nucleotide long non-coding RNA. RefSeq lists it as uncharacterized. NCBI's taxonomy places the organism in Eukaryota, Metazoa, Chordata, Mammalia, Primates, Hominidae. The record is from RefSeq and is a predicted model, not a curated record. The transcript has 4 exons.
GCCAGAGUCAACAGUCUCCAGGGUGGGCCGGAAGUUGUUGUAGGCGUUCUCAAGGCCGAAUCUGCUCUCCCUCAGAUUCUGGUCUGUAGGGAGAGGCCGUGAUGAGUGAUGGGAGCCUUGGUAGGGGGAGGACUAGGGGGCAGAGGGGAUUUCCUCUGGCAAAAGGAAGAGUCAGCCCGGCAUCUGCCCUACGUCCUUUCCCACUGCCGAACACCCCUCCGACCCUGCAUCACUGGGCUGCGGCUGGGAAAAGUGAGACCCAGACGCUCCAUCUCAGCUUCCCCAUGUGGUGCUGUGCUCUGUGGUGGCCAAGACUGCCAUGUUGCCAUGCUGUGAUGCAGAAAGAAAGUCCUCACCAGAUGCAGCCCCUUGAUCUUGGACUUCCCAGCCUCCAGAACUGUUUUCAAACAGUUCCUCAUACUCUAAAGUGUAGUCUGCCUCCAGGAUGACAUCAUUCUUGACCACGAUGCUACCGUUGCUGGAAGUGGGAAUCGUUUCAUCAGUUACCCAUGUCACCACCCAGCCAGCAAGUGGAGCCCAAGCACCCAGAGUGGUAAUGGGAGAUGAAGCUGCCAUGUGACCCAGAGGUGAGAAAGAAUACAGAGUCUUCCCUCCAGCAGCUAACCACCCAGACAGAGGGAGGAGAGCGAAACGAUUCAAGAUCUCACAUAUCAGUGAUCAUGAUAAAUGCCAAUGAGUGAAAUUCAUCUCUCGCAAAAUAGUGGCUCUUGGAUGAACAGGUGGAGAAAUUUGAAUCCCUGUGUCCUGUUGAUGCGAAAGUAAAAUAGUGCAGCUGCUAUGGAAAACAGUAUGGAGCUCCUCAAAAAAUUUAAAAUAGAAUUAAUGCAUGAUUCAGCAAUUCUACUUCUGGGUAUAUAUACAAAAUAACUGAAAGCAGGUCUUGAAUUUAUAUUUGUACCCUUGUGUUUUUAGUAGCAUUAUUUACCAUAGCCAAAAGGUGGAAGCAAACCAAGGGUCCAUCAUCAGGCAAAUGGAGAAACAAAUGUGGUCUAUUGUGGAAUAUUAUUUAGCCUUAAAAAGGAAGUACAGGGCAGGAAGUGAGGUGGCUCAUGCCUGUCAUCCCAGCAAUUUGGGAGGCUGAGGUGGGAGGACUGCUUGAGGCCAGGAGUUCAAGACCAGCCUGGGCAACAUGAUGAGACCCCAUCUCUACAAAAAAUACAAAAAUUAGUCAGCCAAGUUGGUGCACGCUUGUAGUCCCAGCUACUCAGGAGGCUACGUCAGGAGGAUCGCUUGAGCCCAGGAGUUUGAGGCUGUGUUGAGCUAUGAUUGCACCACUGCACUUCAGGCAACAGAGCAAGACCCCAUUUUUUAAAAUUUAAAAAAGAAAGAAAAAGGUAAGUUUCUAACCUAGAAGCUACUCCUUCAAUAGCCAAUGAUGCAGCUGGGGGGAGAGAUCUUGAGACAAGGCAAGUCAUCUGUCACUGUCAUUUUGAAAGAUAAGUCAGUAGUAGGACUCAGGAGGACUUGGACAAAAAAAAUCCUGAGCCAAAAUGGAAAGACCAGGGUGCCGAUGCUGAGCCAGGGGCAAGGUUGGGGCACCGGGACCCUCUCUUCCCUGCUGCAAGGACACGGCACCCUUGAAGCACCCUUCCCACCCCUCUAUCUGCCUCUUUCCAUUCUCCACUGGGGGCUCUGGCUAGAUCUUAAAUGUUGGUGCUUUCCAGCUUCAUUCCUGGGAGACCCUCGUUUUGUGCCAUGACCCUCCCUCACCCCCGACCUGAGCCAUCUCUUCCUACUCCCAGGACUUCCAGUGACAUGCAACUGGGGAUACCAAUGCCUGUGUCUCUGAUAAUACCCUUUAGAGGCUGGGUGUGGUGGCUUACGCUUGUAAUCCCAGCACUUUGGGAGGCCGAGGCGGGAGGAUCACUUGAACCCAGGAGUUUGAGACCAGCCCGGGCAACAUAGCAAGACCCCAUCUCUGCAAAAAUUACAAAAAUUAGGCUGGGGCAGUGGCUUACACCUGUAAUCCCAGCAUUUUGGGAGGCCAAGGCGGGCGGAUCACUUGAGGUCAGGAGUUCGAGACCAGCCUGGCCAACGUGGUGAAACCCUGUCUCUACUAAAAAUACAAAAUUUAGCUGGGUGUGAUGACAUGUGCCUGUAGUCCCAGCUACUCGGGAAGCUAAGGCAGGAUAAUCACUUGAACCUGGGAGGUGAAGCUGCAGUGAACCGAGAUUGCACCAUGGCACUCCAGCCCAGGCAACAGAGCAAGACUCUGUCUCAAAAAAAGCAAAACAAAAAAAUUACAAAAAUUAGCCAAGCACGAUGGCACAGGCCUGUAGUCCCAGCUACUCGAGAGGCUGAGGUGGGAGGAUUGCUUGAACCCGAGAGGUUGAGCCUGCAGUGAGCCAUAAUUAUGCCACUGCAUUCCAGCCUGAGCAAGAGAGCGAGACCCUGCCCCCGAUCCCCACAAAAUAAGACCCUUUAGGGCACAUUCCACUGCUGCAUCACGCAACCACUCCAUGUGGCUGGGCCCUGGGCACUUGAAACUUGAUGUGAUGCACACUGAACUCAUCAUCUCCUUCCCCCAUUCUACCCCUCAUGACAUUCCUCCACACAGCACAGGGCACCCCACACCUCCAGCCGCCCAGAAAUCUGCCCUCGUUCCUCAUUCUUCCCUCCCUCCUCUCCUGCAGCAAAUCCCAGGUCUGCUGGUCCUGCCUCCCAAAGACCUUUCACACUGGACCUGUUUUCUCCUUUACUGUCACCUAUCUGGUGUAGGCCACCAUCAUCUCCAGUACAGGCUUCUGCUUAUGCAAUCUCUACCCUACAGCCAGACUGAGCUAUCUACUCUGCAGACCAGACACUAUCCCUCAUGGGUCUACACUGCUGAUGCCAAAAGUCUAACUAACUUGGCAUGAGCCAUCUUUCCAGCCUCCUCCCCCAUCACUGGUCCUUUGCUCUUAAGCACCCAGCCAUUCUGAGCGUCUUUAGGUUCCUGGAAUCUGCCCUCCUCUCUCUCCCCUCUGGGCUUCUUCUCAUUCAUUCCCUCUGCUGCAACUGCCUCUCCUUCCCUUCCUUCUCUCUGGAUCAUUCCUCCUCAUCCUUCAAGCCUCAGUUUUGCUGUUACAUUUUUUUUUCUUUUUGUAGAGAUGGGAUCUCGCUAUGUUGCCCAGGCUAGUCUCGAAUUCCUGGCCUGAAGUGAUCCUCCCCCAUUGGCCUCCCAAAGCAUUGAGAUUACAUGCAUGAACCACCACGCCCAGCCUGUUGCCAGUUUUUCCAGGAAGAAUUCUUCUGCCACACCAAGCUUUGCUUUUGGGACCUCUCCCAGGGCACCCUGUGUGCCCCUUACUGAAACUCUAAGCAGACUGCUUAGCCACUUUUCCAUCUGUGUUCUGCCACUCUGAGCUCAAGGAAAACUGGGACUACUGUGUUCCCAGCACCCAGCAGGGGGCUGGCUUUCAACAAAUGUGUGUUGAGUGGAUGAAUGAAUGAAGAAUGAAAGGUGUCACAGCCCCCAGUGUUCCCUAGCGGCUGCAGGCCUCUCUGACCCAACCAGUAUUGAUAUUCUAGCCAUUCAUGAUAGGAGGAGGCAGGAAAGCAGGGACAAGGAGGAUUUCCCCACAUCUAUAAACCUGCCCCCCAAUAUACUCACAGCAAUCUCCGAAUGUUCACCCCUCUAUACUGAGGAAGAUUGUCGCCCUUCAAAACGACAUCCAUCUGAAAGAAACAAGGCAGCGAAGGUCACACAAAGCUAGAGCAUGAAGACUCUCCUGUUCCCCUUCUUGAGGCAGCCCUAGGCACCUUUCUGUGGAGCCCAGGUAAGCUCCCAUAGGAGGAACCACCAACCCAGGAAGCUCCCUCUGCCAUAAUGUGGGUCAUGUGGGGCUGAAGGCUGGAAGCUCUCAAAGGACCUCCUUUCAAGACUUAGGGAGACUGGUAGGGAGGGGGCUCAUGAGCAGAAGAACUCAGAUCACUAAGUUGGGGUGCACCCCCCAAUUUCCUCUCACAUGGGACAUCACCCUGGGGUGUCUGGGUGUGCCCUGGUCUUACCCGAUUCUUGAAGAGGGUACUGAAGUUCUGGUAUUCCUGGGAGGAUGCAUCAUUCAUCUUUUCUGUGAAAUUUCUGUAAGUCACUUUCACUGUCAUACCUAAAGUGGCGUUGAGUUUUUCCGGGGUUUCUGUGGGAAAAGGCCAUGGUAUGCGUGAGACAGCGACCUCCCAAUGAUGUCCCCCAGGAUUGAUACAUUCUCUGCCUGUGGGUGUCUUGAAGGUGAAAGAAACUUAAGAGGAAGGUGGGGUCACUGUUCCCUGUCUCCCAAAACCCUGAGGAGCCAGUGGCCAGGAGGGAAAGGGACAGAACUAAGUACAGAAGCCCUUUGAUGAGGGGGGCAGGUGAGCUAAUGGAAAGGGCCCUGGGCCGGGUGCUGUGGCUCACACCUGUAAUCCCAGUGCAUUGGGGAGAUGGGAAGACCUACCUGGGCAACAAAGUGAGACCCUGUCUCCACGAAAAUAAAAAAAUUAACCAGGCAUGGUAGUGCACGCCUGUAGUCCCAGCUAUUCGGAAGGCUGAGGCCAGAGGAUAACUUGAGCCCAGGAGUUCGAGGCUGUGGUGAGCUAUGAUCUGCAACUCUGCACUCCAGCCUGGGCCACAGAGUGAGACCCUAUCUCAAAAGAAAUGGAGGUUCCUAAAACUAAAAAUAGAGCUACCGGCCAGGCGCAGUGGCUCACACCUGUAAUCCCAGCACUUUGGGAGACUGAGGUGGGUGGAUCACGAGGUCAGGAGAUCAAGACAAUCCUGGCUAACACGGUGAAACCCCAUCUCUAAUAAAAAUACAAAAAAAAAAAAAAAUAGCCAGGCAUGGUGGCGGGCACCUGUAGUCCCAGCUACUUGGGAGGCUGAGGCAGGAGAAUGGCAUGAACCUGGGAGGUGGAGCUUGCAGUGAGCCGAGAUCGUGCCACUGCACUCCAGCCUGGGCAACAGAGCAAGACCCCAUCUCAAAAAAUAAAAAAUAAAAAUAGAGCUACCAUACAAUCCAGCAAUCCCUCUGCUGGGUAUAUACCCAAAAGAAAGGAAAUCAGUACAUUGAAGAGAUCUCUGCACUCCCAUGUUUGUUGCUGUUCACAAUAGCCAAGACUUGGAAGCAACCCAAGUGUCCAUCAACAGAUGAAUGGAUAGAGAAAAUGUGGUACAUAUACACAAUGGAGUACUAUUCAGCCAUCAAAAAGAAUGAGAUCCUGUCAAUUGCAACAACAUGGAUGGAACUGGAGGUCGUGUUAAGUGAAAUAAGCCAGGCACAGAAAGACAAACAUUGCAUGUUCUCACUUGUUAGUGGAAUCUAAAAGUCCAAAUAAUUGAACUAAUGGAGGCAGAGCAUAGAAGGAUGGUUACCAGAGGCUGGGAAGGGUAGUAGGGUGGAGGUGAGAGGGAGGUGGGUAUGGUUAAUGGGUACAAAAAAUGUAUAGUUAGAAAGGAUGAAUAAGACCUAGUAUUUAACACGACAGAGUGACUAUAGUCAAUAAUAAUUUAAUUGAACAUUUAAAAACAACUAAAAUAGCUGGGCGCGAUGGCUCAUGCCUGUAAUCCCAGCACUUUGGGAGGCCGAGGCAGGAGGAUCACCUAAGAUCAGUAGUUCCAUACCAGCCUGGCCAAUAUGGUGAAACUCCGUCCCUAUUAAAAAUACAAAAAUUAGCCAGGCAUGGUGGCCCAUGCCUGUAAUCUCAACUACUCAGGAGGCUGAGGCAGGAGAAUCACCUGAACCCAGGAGGUGGAGGUUGCAGUGAGCCAAGAUCGUGCCAUCACACUCCAGCCUGGGAGACAGAGCGAGACUCCCUCUCAAAAAAUAAAAUAAAAUAAAAUAACUAAAAUAGUACCGUAGGAUUGUUUGUAACAUAAAGGUUAAAUGCUUGAGGGAAUGUGUACCCCAUUCUCCAUGCUGUGAUUAUUACAUAUUGCAUUCCUGUAACAAAACAUCUCAUGUAUACUCCAUAAAUAUAUACAUCUACUAUGUACCCCUAAAAAUUAAAAAUUAAAAAAAAUCGACCACCCCAUUUUUCUACCUUCUACUUUUGUCCCUGAAGGCAAAGGUAGAAGGUUCGUGUUCUCCCUACAGUGUUGCUGGGAAGAGUCACACCUCCUCCACCUGCAAGUGAGGCAGUGGCUGAUCCUUCCAACACUGCCAUGCUGUUUUCAGGGGUGAAAGGGCCUGCAAAGAGCUGCAGGUCUCAGAAAAGGUCAUUACCUACAGGGAAGGAUUCCAGAGGGGACAAGCACUGGUAACCAACGUAGCCUUGGGGACAGACGCAUUGUUUUCCAUUCCAAAUUUGUCCUUCCUGGCACAACCCUGUGGAGAGAUAGAAUCCACAGCAGUCACCGUGGGAGCCCAAAGAGCAAAAACAUACACUCCCAUUCCAGGUCCAGUCACUCAGCAUCGCACUGGAGAGCAGGACGAUGCCAGAUGACCGCACAGCAAUGAAGAUGCCUCUGCUGCCACCUCUGCCCCCGGGAGAUAGUAAGAAAGGGAGGAGGAACAGCAGAGAGUAAGGAAACAAAAGAUACAAGAGGUCCAGCUAUGAAAAAAGCACUCUUAUGUACCAAAAGAAGACAACUCUACCCAUGGGAUCACCUGGAACAGGGAGGAGAAAGAGUUGGAAAUGUGAAACAAAACCACAGGAGGCCAGAGCAGAUGCGGAUUCUCAUGAUGAGACAGAAGGAGGCCGGGCGCGGUGGCUCACGCCUGUAAUCCCAGCACUUUGGGAGGCUGAGGUGGGUGGAUCACUUGAGGUCAGGAGUUUGAAACUAGCUUGGUCAACAUGGUAAAAACCCAUCUCUACUAAAAAUACAAAAAUUAGGUAGGCAUGGUGGUGGGCACCUGUAAUGCAAGCCACUUGGGAGGACAAGGUAGGAGAAUCGCUUGAGCCCAGGAGGCAGAGGUUGCAGUGAACCAAGAUCAUGCCAUUGCACCCCAGCCUGGGCAACAGAGCAACACUCUGUCUCAAAAAAAAAAAAAAAAAAUCCAGAGAAGAGGGGUUCAUGGAAGGAUGAAAAAUAAAUACAUAAAUAAAACCACCCUGGAGUCAUAGAGGAAGGAGAGAUUGUCAUCAUACAUGUGUGGGGACCAGUGAACGGCACAUGAACACUGGAAGUGGUAUCGAACCCAGAAACUGGAUAAUCGGUAGACCCAAGUAAAGUGGAAGACAGAGGAAAAGAACCAAGAGAGUUUGUAAUGGAUGAAGAAGACUCAUGGACAGGCCUGGAGAAGAAGCUAAACGUGGAUGAAAUGGAAAGAGCAGUACCUGGUGCUAAGGUUUCCAGGCUUUCAGUAGACACAAUUGUAG